CCUGGGGUGAUCCUCCUGUUAAAAUUAGAAUUGGGUUAUUCGGUGUCGAUUAAAAUUAGAAUUUUCUUUGAUUAGAAUUAGAAUUCUAAAAUUAAAAUUAGAAUUAUUUGAUUCAAUUUCAGUUUUUCUGUUAUUGGGUUUUGUGAAUUUUCUUUUUGUUUCAGUGGCUUCAAGGUUCUGAUAAUUGAUCUUUUUUUGUCUGAUGCUGCUCUCCCAGUUCUCAAUCCUCGAUUUUUGCAUCUCGAACUUUGCUCGCAAGGUGGAUGAAGACUACAAGCGAAUGGUAAUAUUAACUACCUUUUUACAAGUCUACAUUUCUUCAGGCUUAAGUUUUUCUUAUCUCUCUAAUGAUUUUGUAUUUAUUGUUGUAUAAACUAAACGUGCACUUCUUUGAUUGAUGAGUGUUGAAAGAGGGACAAUCUUGAGUGAGCAACAAUCUCGAGGGCAGAAUUUACACUAUUUUUGGUUUUGUCAUUGACAAACUUUGAAAAUGAUUGACGUUGUAUAAAGUUGAAGAUUAUGGCAGAUUGACGUUGUAGAAAUUUAUAUAGAUUUGGUUUGGUUUGAGAGGUAAA
This is a non-coding RNA of Camellia sinensis, 575 nucleotides long. The record is from RefSeq and is a predicted model, not a curated record. NCBI's taxonomy places the organism in Eukaryota, Viridiplantae, Streptophyta, Magnoliopsida, Ericales, Theaceae.